This is a long non-coding RNA of Triticum dicoccoides, 1181 nucleotides long. RefSeq lists it as uncharacterized. The record is from RefSeq and is a predicted model, not a curated record. The transcript has 4 exons. NCBI's taxonomy places the organism in Eukaryota, Viridiplantae, Streptophyta, Magnoliopsida, Poales, Poaceae.
UUUCAGUCACAGAUCCUUGAGCCGACCUAAUUGAGCUAUCGGAGGUGUUGCGGUCUUUUAGCAAACAUGCCCUAUAUUCUAUGGUUUGGCAUCUACAGGAUGCCAUCUCUGGUCAUGGAUCCACUAUGGCUGCUUCGUCCUUCACUUAGGACCUUCUCACCCCCACAGAGAUCAGAGAGAAAAAUAUAUCUUGGAAGCAGGAACCCUUACCUCAUAAGAUGGGUUAUGACUAUGCCGUAGGUGACGUGCGGAAAGGCGACCAAAGAGUACAUGAAGAAUUCUUGCUAUCAACUAGGGCUGGAUGCCCCCAGGAAGAAUGCCGUGAGUCAACUUUAAUGACUAAUAUGUUAAUUUCUUCUAGCUACACAAUAUGAGAUAUUGCUUCUUAAUUAACGCUUACUGCUACGUAGUAAGAUGACAAUGGGAUUUUGUUUCUCGAGUUGGCACUCAGUAGUAAAAGUGGUUUAUACUUCGAAUAGUUGAGCAGAAAACUGGCGUGUCAUGGCUCCUAAUGUUACAGAGCAAGUGGACAGACUCUAUCCCCCCCUCUCUCUAGACUUUGUUUUCUAGGUUUGGUUGGGUACAAAAGGCUAGAUUCUGGUAUAUAUUCAUUGAUGCAGAAGCUAGAAGCUCAUUGAUAUUAUUUUUCUUGCCAAACAUACAAAGGAUUGUGCAUAAAACUUCCAGCUUGAAAUCUACAUCUGGGUUACGAGCUUUCUCCAGAAUUUAAGAACAUCGUUGUGGACAUUUAGAUAUUUUUGUAGUAUUCUUCAGGGUCUUGACUUAAUUUCUUUUCACACAGUAAAAUAUUAAUUAUAUGUUGUACAGUAGUAGUACUGUGCAUACUAUGUACUCAAGUUUAUUGAAGUCAAAGCAGGAAAGGAGAUCAGAGUUCAGGGCAUGUUCAGCUCCACCCAUGCAUCAAGGGAAAUAUAUACGACGCAAAUGAUAACGUGUUCUGCUAGAUGACAUAGUACAAGGUUCAGCAGCGACGACAUGAUCUCAAACAUGCCACUGGCAUGGCACCUAUACUAAACUUGAUUUGUUCUCUCAAUAUGGAGUGUUAAUCUUCUCCUCUGCAUAGUACAAAUAUUCCCUUAGCUCAAAGGAUAUAGACAUGGUGAGUUUGGUUGGAGGAAAUAAGAAUGAUUUAUAAAAGUAAUAAAAGGGAGAUAAUGCUG